AGAGGUCUCAACCGUUGUUCGGAUUCAUUGGGCGUAAAGGGUGCGUAGGCGGUCGCGCAAGUCGGAUGUGAAAUCUCAGGGCUCAACCCUGAAACUGCAUUCGAUACUGCGUGGCUAGAGUGCUGGAGAGGAGACUGGAAUUUACGGUGUAGCAGUGAAAUGCGUAGAUAUCGUAAGGAAGACCAGAGGCGAAGGCGAGUCUCUGGACAGCAACUGACGCUGAGGCACGAAGGCCAGGGGAGCAAACGGGAUUAGAUACCCCGGUAGUCCUGGCAGUAAACGGUGCACGUUUGGUGUAGGCGGAUUCGACCCCGCCUGUGCCGGAGCUAACGCGUUAAACGUGCCGCCUGGGAAGUACGGUCGCAAGAUUA
RNAcentral lists this ribosomal RNA (371 nucleotides) under uncultured bacterium. RNAcentral's name for it is "bacterial SSU rRNA". It matches the Rfam family "Bacterial small subunit ribosomal RNA", at positions 527 to 896 of the family's 1533-position model. The record is from RNAcentral.